RNAcentral lists this ribosomal RNA (262 nucleotides) under uncultured prokaryote. Its description in RNAcentral is "partial 16S ribosomal RNA". It matches the Rfam family "Bacterial small subunit ribosomal RNA", at positions 527 to 788 of the family's 1533-position model. The record is from RNAcentral.
CGGAGGGGCUAGCGUUGUUCGGAAUUACUGGGCGUAAAGCGCACGUAGGCGGAUCAGCCAGUCAGGGGUGAAAUCCAGGGGCUCAACCCCGGAACUGCCCUUGAUACUGCUGGUCUGGAGUUCGAGAGAGGCGAGUGGAAUUCCGAGUGUAGAGGUGAAAUUCGUAGAUAUUCGGAGGAACACCAGUGGCGAAGGCGGCUCGCUGGCUCGACACUGACGCUGAGGUGCGAAAGCGUGGGGAGCAAACAGGAUUAGAUACCCU